UAAGAGCUAGAAUGCCCCUCUGGAGC
Molecule: non-coding RNA, 26 nt
Filed under: Mus musculus (house mouse)
Lineage: Eukaryota; Metazoa; Chordata; Mammalia; Rodentia; Muridae
Source: RNAcentral